Molecule: ribosomal RNA, 255 nt
Filed under: uncultured bacterium
Lineage: Bacteria
Description: partial 16S ribosomal RNA
Rfam family: Bacterial small subunit ribosomal RNA
Source: RNAcentral
GACGAACGCUGGCGGCGUGCCUAACACAUGCAAGUGGAGCGACGAACCGGACUUCGGUCCGGGCAAGGCCGCGAACGGGUGAGUAACACGUGGGUAACCUGCCCCGAUGAUUGGGACGAACCCGACGGAAACUCGGGCGUAAUACCGAAUGUGCCCUACCGGUCGCAAGACCGCUGGGGAAAGGAAGCUUCGGCCUCCGCAUCGGGAUGGCCCGCGGCCAUUAGCUUGUUGGUGAGGUAAAGGCUCACCAAGGCC